GGAUUUCUUUGGCUUAGAAGCUUGUAAACAUAAUUUCAAUGCACUACAUAUCCCAUAACAUUUAGCUAGUUCUUGAACUGACUGGGAAAUGUUAGAUAUGAGGUCCAAAAACAUCUGCGGUUCCAAGGUUAGUUACUCUUAUCUCUUACAUGCUUAGCCAUCAGCAUUACUAAGAAUUAAAAAGUGUAUAGUGUAUAUCGUAAUACAAACGCUAUUUAGAUCACCGUAAAAAAGCAUUUUUACUCACCUCCUCUCCCACGCCGCACAGGUAUCACAGCGGCUGCCCUUGUUUCCAUGCUUGACAUCAUCAGUCUUGAUGAUCUCACCCAUUUCAAUGCUUUUCCAUAG
Molecule: non-coding RNA, 348 nt
Organism: Pelobates cultripes (western spadefoot toad)
Lineage: Eukaryota; Metazoa; Chordata; Amphibia; Anura; Pelobatidae
Source: the annotation of a GenBank genome assembly